Molecule: ribosomal RNA, 497 nt
Filed under: uncultured bacterium
Lineage: Bacteria
Description: partial 16S ribosomal RNA
Rfam family: Bacterial small subunit ribosomal RNA
Source: RNAcentral
GAUGAACGCUGGCGGCGUGCCUAAUACAUGCAAGUCGAGCGAACAGACGAGGAGCUUGCUCCUCUGACGUUAGCGGCGGACGGGUGAGUAACACGUGGAUAACCUACCUAUAAGACUGGGAUAACUUCGGGAAACCGGAGCUAAUACCGGAUAAUAUAUUGAACCGCAUGGUUCAAUAGUGAAAGACGGUUUUGCUGUCACUUAUAGAUGGAUCCGCGCCGCAUUAGCUAGUUGGUAAGGUAACGGCUUACCAGGGCAACGAUGCGUAGCCGACCUGAGAGGGUGAUCGGCCACACUGGAACUGAGACACGGUCCAGACUCCUACGGGAGGCAGCAGUAGGGAAUCUUCCGCAAUGGGCGAAAGCCUGACGGAGCAACGCCGCGUGAGUGAUGAAGGUCUUCGGAUCGUAAAACUCUGUUAUUAGGGAAGAGCAAAUGUGUAAGUAACUAUGCACGUCUUGACGGUACCUAAUCAGAAAGCCACGGCUAACUACGUG